AAUUGAGCUCAGAAGUCUUCUGAGAAAACGGAACUCGGCCCAUACUGGCUUCGAUUCGUUAGCCAGCGGCACCAGCAACGUUUGUGCCUGCGAGGCGAGAAACCGAGGAGAGCGGCAACUCGGAGGAGAGUGAAGAUGCCUCGGCCUGAGUUCCAGGCGCCGCCGGAUGUGUUCUACGACGAGUCGGAGGCCCGCAAUCUAGGAUUUCCGAGAGGGCGCUGGAGCUGCUCGCUCUCCCCAACGAUGGCGUCCCCAAGCUGCUCCUCGACAUACGUCAGCUUACUCUCUUCUGCAAGCCCGGCUUCAUAAAUCAUGGCAUAUCGCGUUGGCUAGAACACCAGAAAGUAUUUUACUUUUGACGGGGGCAAAAAUACAUUCUGUGGGAACUCUUCCUCUAAUUGCAAUGGGUUGGCAUCUAUGUUUGAAGAUAUGUUUACCUUA
Long non-coding RNA from Zea mays, 441 nucleotides. RefSeq lists it as uncharacterized. The record is from RefSeq and is a predicted model, not a curated record. The transcript is spliced from 2 exons. Lineage: Eukaryota; Viridiplantae; Streptophyta; Magnoliopsida; Poales; Poaceae.